RNAcentral lists this ribosomal RNA (468 nucleotides) under uncultured bacterium. RNAcentral describes it as "partial 16S ribosomal RNA". It matches the Rfam family "Bacterial small subunit ribosomal RNA", at positions 28 to 507 of the family's 1533-position model. The record is from RNAcentral.
GACGAACGCUGGCGGCGUGCCUAAUACAUGCAAGUCGAACGGACAGGUUCUGCCUUUGCGUGCUACUCGAGUGGCGAACGGGUGCGUAACGCGUGAGAAACCUGCCCUUGCCUUUGGGAUAACUUCAGGAAACUGGGGCUAACACUGGCUAGGAGCUCCUGAUGCUAGGUGGGGGUUGGUAAGUUUCGGAGGUUGGGGAUGGACGCGCGGCCUAUCAGCCUGUUGGUGGGGUAGUGGAUUACCAAGGCUUUGACGGGUAGCCGGCCUGAGAGUGUGACCGGCCACAUUGGGACUGAGGUAGGGCCCAGAGUCCAUCGGGAGGCAGCAGUGGAGAACAUUGCACAAUGGGCGGAGUCCGGAUGCAACAUCGCCGCGUGCGAGAUGACGGCCUUCGGGUAGUAAACCGCGUUCGCCUGGAACGAAGCGUGAGUGACGGUAAUUGGUAAAGAAGCACCGGCUAACUACGUG